This 329-nucleotide unclassified non-coding RNA is filed under the name soil metagenome. RNAcentral describes it as "partial contains 5.8S ribosomal RNA, internal transcribed spacer 2, and large subunit ribosomal RNA". The stretch from base 1 to 120 matches the Rfam family "5.8S ribosomal RNA", at positions 35 to 154 of the family's 154-position model. The record is from RNAcentral.
GAUGAAGAACGUAGCGAAACGCGAUAGUUAAUGUGAAUUGCAGAAUUCAGUGAAUCAUCGAAUCUUUGAACGCACAUUGCGCCCCUUGGUAUUCCGAGGGGCAUGCCUGUUCGAGCGUCAUUAUAACCCCUCAAGCUCAGCUUGGUGUUGGGGCCUGCUGCACUGGCAGCCCUUAAAAUCAGUGGCGGCGCCAUCUGGCUCUAAGCGUAGUAAUUCUUCUCGCUAUGGAGUCCUGGUGGAUGCUUGCCAUCAACCCCCAAUUUUUCUAUGGUUGACCUCGGAUCAGGUAGGGAUACCCGCUGAACUUAAGCAUAUCAAUAAGCGGAGGA